UACGAGGGGGGCAAAUGUUGUUCGGAAUCACUGGGCGUAAAGGGCGCGUAGGCGGGUUCUUAAGUAAGGUGUUUAAUCCCGGGGCCCAACCCCGGACCGGCACUUUAAACUGGGAAUCUUGAAUAGUGGAGAGGUCAGUGGAAUUGGGGGUGUAGCGGUGGAAUGCGUAGAGAUCCCCAAGAACACCAGUUGCGAAGGCGGCUGACUGGACACAUAUUGACGCUGAGGCUCGAAAGCAUGGGGAGCAAACAGG
RNAcentral lists this ribosomal RNA (253 nucleotides) under uncultured bacterium. Its description in RNAcentral is "partial 16S ribosomal RNA". It matches the Rfam family "Bacterial small subunit ribosomal RNA", at positions 524 to 776 of the family's 1533-position model. The record is from RNAcentral.